Long non-coding RNA from Cuculus canorus (common cuckoo), 1759 nucleotides. RefSeq lists it as uncharacterized. The transcript is spliced from 6 exons. The record is from RefSeq and is a predicted model, not a curated record. Lineage: Eukaryota; Metazoa; Chordata; Aves; Cuculiformes; Cuculidae.
CCUGGUUCGUGUCUGGGACAACCAAACCUGCUGUGGGAGGAACAAAUUAUCUGAAAAGAUCUCAGGAAAUGUGAAAACAAUAAUUAUUCACUUGAAAAUAGCAGUUCUGGGACACUUGAUCUCCACAUCUUGUUAGAAAAUGAGGCUCUGGCAGACUGACACCUUUCAAAACACAGAGCUUGGAGGGAAGCAGGCUGGGAAAUGCCCCGUGUGGCAAGGUAACACUUUCCUCUGUGCCAUGCUCACCCAAACCGGCCCAGCUACGGCAUCCCAUCCCCUCGGCAGUCACCGUGCCAGCUCCUCCACCGAAAUGCCGAGGCACCGGGUGCCGUCAGCACCUGGGAGUCGUGGGGCUUCAACUGAAGCGGUUGUCGAGCAGCCAGGGAGACACGCAGGAGGCAGCAGCCUUGAAGUGCAAUUUGCAUUUUAAUAAAUCUGCUGGAGCAUCCCGGAGUCCUCUGUGGUGCCAACACCAUCUGAGCAUCCCUGGAAUGAGGAGGCAGAGUGGAGGAAGCAAAAGGAGAUGAAGGGAUUUGCAUGGGCAUCGUAGAAGGGGACCCUAAGCAGAAGCAAGUAGGUGCAAGGGUGCCCAAACCUGGCUGAAAGUGGGCAACAGUAGCAGCGCGAAACAUUGGUAGUGCAGACAAAGUAAGGAAAUUCUGAACUUUUAAAACUGUUUUAGAUAAACUGAAGUAUCCUGGUUUUUAACAAAUUUGAAGCUUUCAACUUGUUUUCGUGCUAAAACCAAUCAUGCUCCAGCACAAAACACAAGGUCUUGGAAAGCAAUGGCACUUGUGACAGCAAACAAGAAGGAGAUGUUCUGUUCAGAGCAUACUGGAAAGCUUCUCUGUGUCCGAACAUAAUGAACUUUUACUGCUGUUGAGAAGUUUCUGUAAAAAGCUGUUUUCUGACACAAUAAUAUUGGACCGGAGGCCUGUUUUGCUGAGUCUCCAGGUGACGGAGCUGAAGUUCUGCCUCCUGAGCCCACCUGCAGCAUCGUCUGCCCUCCCCAUCACCCAGGGGUGCCCGGGUCCCCCCUGCAUCCUGAGGAGAGCACUCUGCAAGGUGCUGUUUGCUUGCAGUCGCUUUUAUUUGCACGCAGUAGGGAAGUAGAGAUAAGGAUCCUUGCUCGCAGUUUUCCUCUUCACCAACCUCUCGGACAGGAAUCCUACCUCCCCAUCCAAUAAGCUGGGACAGAAGGAAGAGGAAAUCCCCUGUGAGUGAUCGCUUCUGGGUUUGAAGAUGACAGACAUGGAUUUGGGGCCUCUGAAGGGAUUUGGAAGGACAGAGUCCAAACAUCCAUCUGGCCGUGAGCUCGCCACCGUUGCCCAAUCUUCCAAACGCCUCCGGCCUUGGCACCUCUGAAAACAAGGCAUUUUUUUUGUGACAGGCGCGUGGGAUGGAAAAUUAUUGUUUGCGUUCAACAGAAGCUGGAGAUCAGAUGCUCUGAGCCGUAAAAACCAGCCUCAUCGCUCAGGGCAGUGCUGGCAGAGGGAAAAGGGAUCGCAAAAGCAUCUUCUGAAAGGAUUCAGGAGUCUGAGACUGGAAAAUCUCCUGUACCUGUGGGUUUGUGCUCAAAACAUCUGCAAAAACGGAGCUGGUACCCUGGAAGAGGAAGGUGUGCUGCACCACGCUGGACUGAUGCUGGACUCCUGAGAGCCACUUGAGUCACGAAACCCCUGGAAGAAGCAGAAAGAGGCUGAGAGCACUGAAGGCUCUUGCUUGGGCAGACUGCAAAGGUCGGGAGUGUUUGCAAUGC